UAUAUGUCUUAAUACUUCAACUUU
This 24-nucleotide non-coding RNA is filed under the name Arabidopsis thaliana (thale cress). The record is from RNAcentral. Lineage: Eukaryota; Viridiplantae; Streptophyta; Magnoliopsida; Brassicales; Brassicaceae.